UUUUUGGAGAGUUUGAUCCUGGCUCAGGACGAACGCUGGCGGCGUGCCUAAUACAUGCAAGUCGAGCGGAGUUGUGAGAGAGCUUGCUCUCGAUCAACUUAGCGGCGGACGGGUGAGUAACACGUAGGCAACCUGCCCCUUGGACUGGGAUAACUACCGGAAACGGUAGCUAAUACCGGAUAAGACCUUCUGGUGCAUACCGGAAGGCGGAAAGGCGGAGUAAUCUGUCACCAGGGGAUGGGCCUGCGGCGCAUUAGCUAGUUGGUGGGGUAACGGCUCACCAAGGCGACGAUGCGUAGCCGACCUGAGAGGGUGAACGGCCACACUGGGACUGAGACACGGCCCAGA
The sequence is a ribosomal RNA, 348 nucleotides long. It matches the Rfam family "Bacterial small subunit ribosomal RNA", at positions 1 to 335 of the family's 1533-position model.